This is a long non-coding RNA of Hyalella azteca, 399 nucleotides long. RefSeq lists it as uncharacterized. The transcript is spliced from 3 exons. The record is from RefSeq and is a predicted model, not a curated record. NCBI's taxonomy places the organism in Eukaryota, Metazoa, Arthropoda, Malacostraca, Amphipoda, Hyalellidae.
UGGUUGCUUCAACGGUCACCGGAAAGCCGGCACGGAAUCUCUCUGGAGUCUCUAAUAUUCCAGCAUCAACUCGAGAUCGAGGCCGCAGUCGGAGCGGCUGUGUUGGGCGCGGGCGUUGCGGCGCUGGGCGAGUGCGCGUCACGACGAGUUGCGUGCCGCUGUUGCUGCCGCGACAUCGCGACGCUGGGCCAGCGCUGGCACCUCGCAGAUGCCGGCGAUCGCAGCCACGCCGGGCCUUCCCUGCGCAUACAAUCUUCGUGCAGGUGUCCAGCGCAGGACGGGGCCGAAGAGGAGCGCGGGCAGCUUGCUAGCCUGACUUCGGCGCGCGCCGUCACGGCCGCGCGACAGCCGCCCUGCAGCCGGCGCGCCUGCCGCAACGGCGGCAAGUGUCUGCCUCAU